RNAcentral lists this ribosomal RNA (260 nucleotides) under uncultured Planctomycetota bacterium. RNAcentral describes it as "uncultured planctomycete partial 16S ribosomal RNA". It matches the Rfam family "Bacterial small subunit ribosomal RNA", at positions 927 to 1181 of the family's 1533-position model. Lineage: Bacteria; Pseudomonadati; Planctomycetota. The record is from RNAcentral.
AAGCGGUGGAGCAUGUGGCUUAAUUCGAGGCUACGCGCAAAACCUUAUCCCAGGCUUGACAUGCACGGAUUAGCCGGCGGAAACGUCGGUAAGGCCGCAAGGUACAACGUGCACAGGUGCUGCAUGGCUGUCGUCAGCUCGUGCCGUGAGGUGUUGGGUUAAGUCCCGUAACGAGCGAAACCCCUGUCCCUAGUUGCCAGCACGUCAUGGUGGGCACUCUAGGGAGACCGCCGGCGUCAAGCCGGAGGAAGGCGGGGAUG